RNAcentral lists this ribosomal RNA (465 nucleotides) under uncultured bacterium. Its description in RNAcentral is "partial 16S ribosomal RNA". It matches the Rfam family "Bacterial small subunit ribosomal RNA", at positions 28 to 507 of the family's 1533-position model. The record is from RNAcentral.
GACGAACGCUGGCGGCGUGCUUAACACAUGCAAGUCGAACGGAAAGGCCCUGCUUGCAGGGUACUCGAGUGGCGAACGGGUGAGUAACACGUGGGUGAUCUGCCCUGCACUUCGGGAUAAGCCUGGGAAACUGGGUCUAAUACCGGAUAGGAGCCAUUUUUAGUGUGAUGGUUGGAAAGUUUUUUCGGUGUAGGAUGAGCUCGCGGCCUAUCAGCUUGUUGGUGGGGUAAUGGCCUACCAAGGCGGCGACGGGUAGCCGGCCUGAGAGGGUGGACGGCCACAUUGGGAACGGGAUACGGCCCAGACUCCUACGGGAGGCAGCAGUGGGGAGUAUUGAACAAUGGGCGAAAGCCUGAUGCAGCGACGCGGAGUGGGGGGUGACGGACUUCGGGUUGUAAACUCCUUUCGUCAGGGACGAAGCAUUUUGUGAAGGUACCUAGAUAAGAAGCACCGGCUAACUACGUG